Molecule: long non-coding RNA, 2840 nt
Organism: Dermochelys coriacea (leatherback sea turtle)
Lineage: Eukaryota; Metazoa; Chordata; Testudines; Dermochelyidae
Exons: 2
Source: RefSeq, a predicted model, not a curated record
CCAAUGUACAUGGCAGAGGGGCAUUGCUGGCACAUGAUACCAAUGUGAUAUAUGCCAUCAUAUAUCCUAUGUCAUAUGUCCUCCUUUUCUUUUUGCAAAACUGAGUUGUUAGCUAAUCAUAGAUGCAAAACUAAAUGUUCUUCAACCUGGAUUUUUAUGAAUGCAAAUAAUCCUUUGCUACUGUUACCAACUAUAACACACCAAUACAGAACGGAGGGCCUUUCCAAAGCCUGCAUACCAUUUGAAGGGUUAAUAGAGGGCUUCGAAUGCAUAUUGGAGGAAUAAUUCUGAGCAAAUUGAUUUUCAUGAGCAAACUGUACCAUUUGCUAAUGUAUUAUUGAAGAGAACUGACUUAUCUUAAUGGCAGAGUCACUGCAAUGUUCAGACUUUGCACUGUAAAAACUUUUGUAAGGAAUGAAAGCUUCUAUUUUGAAAGCCAGUCUUUCGAGGGAUAGAAAACAGUCAUGUUUAAUGUGUAUCUGGCAUUUAAGGUCAAAUUCUGCUUGCCUUACUCAUGUGAAUAGUCCCGCUGAAGUCACUGGUACUACAGUACUUGCUUGAAUAAGAUCAGCAGGAUUUGUCUCAGUGAAACUUGAGCAAAAGGGCUACCCACGUUGAAUGUUUGCAUAGAGCACUGUUAUUUACUUGUGUAAUUUUUGUACUGUAGGUUAGCAUGGAAGUAGCAACCCAGUUUAAAUUGUAAGAAAAGGGAAAAGCUAAAUGCAACCUUAAUAUAAUAUUUUCUCAGUGAUCUCUGUAAAACUUCUGUUCUUCAAUAUAUGCAUAGGACUGACGUAUUGUCAUACAGGCAGGUCUUUUCUUCUGCAAUCUUCUUUCAGGGAGUUUGGUAAGAACAUACUUUUAAUAUUUAUUGUUUAUAGUUUAGCUUUUGUGAAAUGAUUAGAGUACAGAGAACAUUUCUAAUUCCAUUAUCUCAUUAUGUCUGUAUGAUGCUGUGUAUGUUGAUGAAACAUUAGCAAUACAUGUACUGUAAUGAACCAGCAGUCUAAAGAGCAGGGUGAAGCCAACAAAAGGAGCAUCAGUAAAAAUUCUUUGCACUAUGAAUUUUAAUGUCAAGAUUUUUGGUUUCAAUUGUAAGCAGGAAACAAUAAUAUAUAUAUAUGGGGCCCUCUUUAAAUCCAUACAAAUCAAUCCAAACCAAAAUUGUUAUUUUAAGCAACUUAAAGCCUGGCUGGCAAUAUUCUAAAUCACCACUGAUGUUUUAGGUGCCUGGCUGCAAAGAAGUGCAGAACAUCAUGUGUUUACAUUUGUCAGCAUAUAGUGUGAAUCUUAUUAUACUUCAGGAAAUAAGUUGAUUUUUAUUUUCAGUUUUAAGAGAUGGUUUGAGAAAUUCUGUGAUCAGUUCUUUCAAAGUGGUAAAGGUAUUAAACAUCAUACGGUGUAAUUGUUAAAGAUUACACUGAAAAAAUUCAAUAUAAAAAAAUUACUUGGUUGAGGCAAUUUUAGAAUUAUUUCGCAUCAGGUGACUCUGCUUGAACUUAAACCCAUUAGUUUCUAUAUUUAUGCUUUUUUGCCAUAAAGAGAGAGCAUGUUGUAUUGGCAUUACCAUCAGAUAUGUAUUGCAUCUUGCCUUUUGUUACUUUGUAGUUUUUAAAAAGAGCUGUGCAUUCAAGCAGAUGUUAUCAAUUGCAGAAAAAAGAAGCUUUAAAUAAUUUAUUAUUGUUUAAAAGAGAAAAAUCAAAUGGAUCUGGAGGAGAAAAUAUUUUAAAAAUCAUCGCAAAAUUGCUUCCUCAUAUACAAGAGAAAUGUUUUUUCAGUAGCCUAGAGUAUUGAUUAGUAUUCUGUUUUUCUUUAAUCAUAUAACAGAGAUUCUCAAACGGGGGGUUGUGACCGCUCAGGAAGUCAUGAGGUUAUUAAUGGGGGUCAUGAGCUGUCAGCCUCCUCCCCCAAACCUGCUUCACCUCCAGCAUUUAUAAUAGCGUUAAAUAUAAAGAAGUGUUUUUAAUUCAGAAGGGAGGACACAUUCAGAGGCUUUCUGUGCGAAAGAGGUCACCAAUACGUUUGAGAACCACUGAUUAACACAUCAACUGUUAUUUGCUUUGUGUUGCUAGAUGAUGCAGCAUAUGCUCUAAAACGGUCAUAAAUUCUAAAAUACCUUCCUUUAUUUUUCCCUUUCGCCAAACACAAUCUUCUGAAUAAGUAAUGUAGCAAAUUAAAAGGAGGCUAUAGUAUAUUACCAAAUCCAAGACUGAAAAAUUGCAUUCACCCACACAAGCUUGGGAAUCAGGACCUUAAAAAACUUCUGUUUGUGAAAUCACAUAUCCAAAUUCCAAAGAGCACAAAUAGAAAACACCAGAAGUGUGUGAGGGCAGGGAGGGAAGAAUGGGGCCAGGGGCAAGGUAAUGCAGUGGGGGGUAGGGAGGUAACAGUGCAGCUCAGCUUGCCGUCCCUUAGCAUGAGAGAGUAUUAGCAUCUGGGUGAGGGUGUUUGUAUUUUUUCCAAUUUGCAUGCAUAUAGUUUUACCUUAUGUGCUUUAAAAUUAGAUGAAGAGCAGCCUGACGUUCAAAUUUUUGUGAAAGUUAAUUGUACAAUCAUAGGUUACUGUGGUACUUGUUUUCCUUUUGUGUAGCUAUUCCUGUGUAAUUGUAAUGGCCAAAUCCUGCUCUCUUUAGUCAGUGCGACUACUUGUAUGAGCAAGACUAACAGGCUUUAGCCCACAAUGUGUAUUUAUUCAGAGAAACUGAAGCCCAGGUAGCCCCAGUUCCUUCUAUCUUUGUACUUCAGGAACAACCAUUUUUGUUUGAUUGCUGUAUGUAAGCCAUAUCCAUUGUACACUGUGUGUAUAUUUUUAUUUAAAUAAAUGUGACUUUUAUUUUUUA